This 489-nucleotide ribosomal RNA is filed under the name uncultured bacterium. RNAcentral describes it as "partial 16S ribosomal RNA". It matches the Rfam family "Bacterial small subunit ribosomal RNA", at positions 30 to 507 of the family's 1533-position model. The record is from RNAcentral.
AUUGAACGCUGGCGGCAUGCCUUACACAUGCAAGUCGAACGGCAGCAUGAUCUAGCUUGCUAGAUUGAUGGCGAGUGGCGAACGGGUGAGUAAUACAUCGGAACGUGCCCUGUAGUGGGGGUUAAUAGGUGAAAAGUUAGCCUAAACCCCAAAACACCCGGAGGGGUAAGUGGGGGGCCGGCAGGGCCCCAGGUAAAAGGACCGGCGAUGAUUGAUUAGCUAGUUGGUGAGGUAAAGGCUCACCAAGGCCACGAUCAGUAGCUGGUCUGAGGGGACGAUAAGCCACACAGGGACUGAGACACGGCCCAGACUCCUACGGGAGGCAGCAGUGGGGAAUUUUGGACAAUGGGCGAAAGCCUGAUCCAGCAAUGCCGCGUGUGUGAAGAAGGCCUUCGGGUUGUAAAGCACUUUUGUCCGGAAAGAAAUGGCUCUGGUUAAUACCUGGGGUCGAUGACGGUACCGGAAGAAUAAGGACCGGCUAACUACGUG